GGAGAGGUGGCUGAGCGGUCGAAAGCGGCGGUCUUGAAAACCGUUGAACCUCGCGGUUCCCAGGGUUCGAAUCCCUGCCUCUCCGCCA
RNAcentral lists this transfer RNA (88 nucleotides) under Gammaproteobacteria bacterium. RNAcentral's name for it is "tRNA-Ser". It matches the Rfam family "tRNA". Rfam says of the family: Transfer RNA (tRNA) molecules are approximately 80 nucleotides in length. Their secondary structure includes four short double-helical elements and three loops (D, anti-codon, and T loops). Further hydrogen bonds mediate the characteristic L-shaped molecular structure. tRNAs have two regions of fundamental functional importance: the anti-codon, which is responsible for specific mRNA codon recognition, and the 3' end, to which the tRNAs corresponding amino acid is attached (by aminoacyl-tRNA synthetases). tRNAs cope with the degeneracy of the genetic code in two manners: having more than one tRNA (with a specific anti-codon) for a particular amino acid; and 'wobble' base-pairing, i.e. permitting non-standard base-pairing at the 3rd anti-codon position. The record is from RNAcentral. Lineage: Bacteria; Pseudomonadati; Pseudomonadota; Gammaproteobacteria. RNAcentral also lists the same sequence under 1 other name.